GUGAAAUUGUUGAAAGGGAAACGAUUGAAGUCAGUCGUGUUCUUUGGAUUCAGCUAGUUCUUCUAGUCUACUUCCAUUGAACGGGUCAACAUCAGUUUUGUCCGGUGGAUAAAGAUAGUAGGAAUGUAGCUCCCCCGGGAGUGUUAUAGACUAUUAUUGCAUACACUGGGUGAGACUGAGGACUGCAGCUCGCCUUUUGGCCGGUCUUCGGACACGUUCGAGCUUAGGAUGUUGACAUAAUGGCUUUAAACGACCCGUCUUGAAACACGGACCAAGGAGUC
Molecule: ribosomal RNA, 281 nt
Filed under: uncultured fungus
Lineage: Eukaryota; Fungi
Description: partial 28S ribosomal RNA
Rfam family: Eukaryotic large subunit ribosomal RNA
Source: RNAcentral